Molecule: ribosomal RNA, 253 nt
Filed under: uncultured bacterium
Lineage: Bacteria
Description: partial 16S ribosomal RNA
Rfam family: Bacterial small subunit ribosomal RNA
Source: RNAcentral
UACGUAGGGGGCAAGCGUUGUCCGGAUUCAUUGGGCGUAAAGAGCGUGUAGGCGGCCAGGUAGGUCGGUUGUGAAAACUGGAGGCUCAACCUUCAGAGGUCGACCGAAACCAUCUGGCUAGAGUCCGGGAGAGGAGAGUGGAAUUCCUGGUGUAGCGGUGAAAUGCGCAGAUAUCAGGAAGAACACCGGUGGCGAAGGCGGCCCGCUGGGCUGUGGCUGACGCUGAGGCGCGACAGCGUGGGGAGCAAACAGG